GUGAAUCAUCGAAUUUUUGAACGCAAAUUGCACUCUCUUCGGAGAGUAUGCCUGUUUGAGGGUCAGCCUAAAAAAAAAAUCGACAUAGUCGCUGUUUCGCGGUGUCAUUCGUCGGAUAUUGGGUCAUCUUAAACCUUUUGGUUUUAAGCGGCUUAAAAUUUUCUUUACGUUUCCACGAACGAAUCUAAAAUUUACUUCCUACACCUUUUAGGAAAUAGAUCUUUAUUG
RNAcentral lists this unclassified non-coding RNA (228 nucleotides) under Glomus sp. RNAcentral's name for it is "partial contains 5.8S ribosomal RNA and internal transcribed spacer 2". The stretch from base 1 to 65 matches the Rfam family "5.8S ribosomal RNA", at positions 84 to 154 of the family's 154-position model. Lineage: Eukaryota; Fungi; Glomeromycota; Glomeromycetes; Glomerales; Glomeraceae. The record is from RNAcentral.